UGCUUUGUGGCAGCGCUGGGAGGGGUCCCCUGUGCUGCUGCUGAGCGGGCUCGGGUGCCUCAGUGGCUGCGCUGUGUGAACUUCUUCACCUCAGGAGCCGCCCAAGGACCCCAGAAUGCCUUGGAAGCGAGGAAAUGGGACUAUUCAUUCUUCUGCAUACAGGAAAAGAUAAAUCCUCCAAAUUGUGAAGUCCAGCCAAUGCAUGGAGUAUACAGCUUGGACACAGAGAAAAUGAGUGCCUCGGACAGCAAACUCUCAACUCUGCAACUGUCCUGAUGCUGAUUCAAAGGCACUGACUGUAUUCUGUGUUCCUGAAGUCUGGAAUCUGGGAAGUCCAAGGCCAAGAAGACCCACCUGAAGAGGGCCAUAUUCCUGCAUCCUAAUAUGACAAACAUCAUUACAUGAUGCUUGGACUGGAGGUCAUGUGACUAGAUGCAUUAGAAGUGGUGAGAGUGCUUAAAGAACAGUACCUUGGCUACAGGAAAAUGUUCUUGGGAGAUGCAGUAGAUGUGUUUGAAGCCAAGCGAGCAGAAGCCAAGAAGUGGCAGAAUGCACCCAGAGUUACUACUGGACCCACCCCUUUCGGCACCAUGCCAAAUGCAGCAGCUGUUAUCAUGGCUGCAACACUUACACAGCAGCAACAGCCUGCUACAGGAUUUGGAACUAGCUCCGGUUUUGGAUGCAGCACCACAGGGGCCUCAACAUUUGGAUUUGGAACAACAAAUAAGCCCUCAGGAAGUCUUAGUGCAGGCUUUGGCAGCUCAAGUACAUCUGGGUUUACCUUCAGCAAUCCUGGCAUCACGGCAUCAGCUGGUUUGACAUUUGGGGCGUCCAAUCCUGCCUCUGCAGGUUUUGGAACAGGAGGACAACUCCUUCAGUUGAAGAAACCUCCAGCUGGAAACAAAAGAGGAAAAAGAUAAACAUAUGGGUUGAAAUGUUGAGAGAAUCCAUAGCAGUGCUGUUAAUUUGAUGAGUCUAUUUUUCUAGUGAUGCGGUAAUUAAACUGCAUCCCAAGAGAUUUAUAAAGUUUUGAUAUUUUCC
RNA transcript from Lepus europaeus (European hare), 1041 nucleotides. It is a transcript of the gene named nucleoporin p58/p45-like, with no coding region annotated. The record is from RefSeq and is a predicted model, not a curated record. NCBI's taxonomy places the organism in Eukaryota, Metazoa, Chordata, Mammalia, Lagomorpha, Leporidae. The transcript is spliced from 8 exons.